RNAcentral lists this ribosomal RNA (446 nucleotides) under uncultured bacterium. RNAcentral describes it as "partial 16S ribosomal RNA". It matches the Rfam family "Bacterial small subunit ribosomal RNA", at positions 338 to 795 of the family's 1533-position model. The record is from RNAcentral.
CCUACGGGGGGCUGCAGUCGAGAAUCAUUCACAAUGGUGGAAACCCUGAUGGUGCGACGCCGCGUGGGGGAAUGAAGGUCUUCGGAUUGUAAACCCCUGUCAUGUGGGAGCAAAUUAAAAAGAUAGUACCACAAGAGGAAGAGACGGCUAACUCUGUUCCAGCAGCCGCGGUAAUACAGAGGUCUCAAGCGUUGUUCGGAAUCACUGGGCGUAAAGCGUUCGUAGGCUGUUUCGUAAGUCGUGUGUGAAAGGCGCGGGCUCAACCCGCGGACGGCACAUGAUACUGCGAGACUAGAGUAAGGGAGGGGGAACCGGAAUGCUCGGUGUAGAAGUGAAAUGCGUAGAGAUCGAGAGGAACACUCGUGGCGAAGGCGGGUUCCUGGACAUUAACUGACGCUGAGGCACGAAGGCCAGGGGAGCGAAAGGGAUUAGAUACCCGAGUAGUC